Molecule: long non-coding RNA, 879 nt
Filed under: Bemisia tabaci
Lineage: Eukaryota; Metazoa; Arthropoda; Insecta; Hemiptera; Aleyrodidae
Description: lncRNA ENSSSA2NGG006380
Source: RNAcentral
UUGAAGGCAACAAUUGCUUGAAACACAAUGGAGCUGCAUGAUCAUGGGUAUUCUUCACCCUCAGUUUCAACCGUGAAGGAAAAUAGUCUGAUUAAAAUUGAACCGCCUGAUUUUCUCACCUCUGUCGGAUUUGUGCCAACCGGAAUGAAUACCUCAUCCCAAUCUUUGAAGGAGAGGGAAUUCAAUUAGAUCUCAAACUGAGAGUAGAAAAAUAUCUUCCAUUGACAAUUGACCCAUCUGAUGAACUGCCAUCCAGUAUGUGCUAUCAGUGUGCAUCGUCCAUCACAUCGUGGCAUGAUUUAUUUGAGAGCUGCAUCGCAGCUGAAAAACAGUUAAAGGAUAUGAAGGAAGGCCGAAGUAUUGAGAAAGUCACACCGGAAAGUUGUGAAAGGAAAGAAGAGAACGACUGUGAUUCCACUAGCCCUAACAAAAAAAGUUCAAUUCUCCAGACGUUACUGGAAGAACAAUCAAAUUCUCCAGAAUUUUCACCAGCGGUAAGUUUUUAUUCUCAGUUUUGAGUGUCUAUUGGGAAUAGGUCCUCAGUCCACAGCAUUUCAAAAUUGAGUUAUUAUUACCUGAAGGUAGGAAAGUAUCUUGUAAAUAUUACGGAAUGAAUAAGGCUCCUAAAUGUCAAGCCAGACCAGCGUUAGAUCUAAUGGAUGUAACUUUUUGGGGCAGAUAUGUAGUCUCUAGAAAAAGCUGUUCAAAAUUCUGUUUGGCCCGAUUUAAAGCUCAAAAUAGCCAGAUAUUGCAAUCUAAUGUCACACUCUCUGUUGGUAAAAAAAAGCAGUGAACCCUUUACAACUCAUUUUGCAGAAUACUAAAGAGUUUCCAGAAAAAUCUUAUAAUCUGAUUCAUCAAUAAAAUUCAGAUUAAGAA